This 473-nucleotide ribosomal RNA is filed under the name Staphylococcus aureus. RNAcentral describes it as "partial 16S ribosomal RNA". It matches the Rfam family "Bacterial small subunit ribosomal RNA", at positions 24 to 480 of the family's 1533-position model. The record is from RNAcentral. Lineage: Bacteria; Bacillati; Bacillota; Bacilli; Caryophanales; Staphylococcaceae.
UCAGGAUGAACGCNGGCGGCGUGCCUAAUACAUGCAAGUCGAGCGAACGGACGAGAAGCUUGCUUNUNUGAUGUUAGCGGCGGACGGGUGAGUAACACGUGGAUAACCUACCUAUAAGACUGGGAUAACUUCGGGAAACCGGAGCUAAUACCGGAUAAUAUUUUGAACCGCAUGGUUCAAAAGUGAAAGACGGUCUUGCUGUCANUUAUAGANGGAUCCGCGCUGCAUUAGNUAGUUGGUAAGGUAACGGCUUACCAAGGCAACGAUGCAUAGCCGACCUGAGAGGGUGAUCGGCCNCACNGGAANUGAGACNCGGUCCAGANUCNUACGGGAGGCANCAGUAGGGAAUCUUCCNCAAUGGGCGAAAGCCNGACGGAGCAACGCCGCGNGAGUGANGAAGGUCUUCGGAUCGUAAAACUCUGUUAUUAGGGAAGAACAUAUGUGUAAGUAACUGUGCACAUCUGACGGNCCNU